AGUCGAACGCGUUGGCCCAAUUGAUUGAUGGUGCUUGCACCUGAUUGAUUUUGGUCGCCAACGAGUGGCGGACGGGUGAGUAACACGUAGGUAACCUGCCCAGAAGCGGGGGACAACAUUUGGAAACAGAUGCUAAUACCGCAUAACAGCGUUGUUCGCAUGAACAACGCUUAAAAGAUGGCUUCUCGCUAUCACUUCUGGAUGGACCUGCGGUGCAUUAGCUUGUUGGUGGGGUAACGGCCUACCAAGGCGAUGAUGCAUAGCCGAGUUGAGAGACUGAUCGGCCACAAUGGGACUGAGACACGGCCCAUACUCCUACG
This 320-nucleotide ribosomal RNA is filed under the name uncultured Lactobacillus sp. RNAcentral's name for it is "bacterial SSU rRNA". It matches the Rfam family "Bacterial small subunit ribosomal RNA", at positions 60 to 343 of the family's 1533-position model. The record is from RNAcentral. Lineage: Bacteria; Bacillati; Bacillota; Bacilli; Lactobacillales; Lactobacillaceae.